This 418-nucleotide ribosomal RNA is filed under the name uncultured archaeon. Its description in RNAcentral is "partial 16S ribosomal RNA". The record is from RNAcentral.
GGUGGCUCGCUUCACGGCUUCCCUACGGCACCGACAACGGUCGCACCGUGGCCGACACCUAGCGAGUAUCGUUUACGGCUAGGACUACCCGGGUAUCUAAUCCGGWUCGUGCCCCUAGCUUUCGUCCCUUGCCGUCAGGUCCGUUCUGGUGAGACGCCUUCGCCACUGGUGGUCCUUCAAGGAUUACAAGAUUUCACCCCUACCCCUGAAGUGCCUCUCACCUCUCCCGGCCUCGAGCCGAACAGUAUCUCCUGAAAGCCCAACAGUUGAGCCGCUGGAUUUCUCAAGAGACUUAUCCGGCCGGCUACAGACCCUUUAGACCCAAUAAUAACGGUUACCACUCGAGCCGCCGGUGUUACCGCGGCGGCUGGCACCGGUCUUGCCCGGCCCUUGCUAUGCAAUGCUUUUUAGGCAUCAC